GGGAAAGAAGACCUUGUUGAGCUUGACUCGGCGCUGCACUCGGCGGUGAAAUACCCCUACUCUGAUCGGUUUUUUCACUUACCCAGUGAGGCGGGGAGGUGAGCCCUGAGAGAGCAUGGCCCGCCCCGGGGACAGCAGCGGGUUGGGAGUUUGACUGGCCAAAGCAUAACAUGGGUGUCCUAAGCUGAGCUCAGGGAGGACAGAAACCUCCCACAGAGCAAAAGGGAAAAAGCUCGCUUGAUCUUGAUUUUUCAGUACGAAUACAGACCGUGCAAGCAGGGCCUCAUGAUCCUUCUGGAUUUUUGGGUUUUAAGCAGAAGGUUAGAACCUGCUUUAAGGCUACAUGAGUGUAUCGAUUAUGGGACAAGACACAGGCAGUUGCUCGUGGUCUGGGCUAUAAUUGUUCCACUUCAUCAUCUAUUUUUACACU
This 430-nucleotide non-coding RNA is filed under the name Phalacrocorax carbo (great cormorant). RNAcentral's name for it is "Eukaryotic large subunit ribosomal RNA". It matches the Rfam family "Eukaryotic large subunit ribosomal RNA", at positions 2400 to 2877 of the family's 3401-position model. The record is from Rfam by way of RNAcentral. Lineage: Eukaryota; Metazoa; Chordata; Aves; Suliformes; Phalacrocoracidae.